UCGGUAUUUAUUGCAGAAGAAAAUUUUCGAGUGACGUUUGUAGUUUAGGAAAACUAGGUUAUUAUGGGAAUGAAGAUCUAGCUUUUGCUCUAAUAUUAUUUGUAAUGUUCAUAUUUUAUUUUUAAAAUGCAGUUCACUGCAUAAUAUUUGUGGAAAUCGAAUUAAGAGAUUCAAAUACACUAUAGUGAUUUAAAGAUAAAAUAAGGAGUAUGUGGUCAAACCCUCGUCCCCCAUCUAGAACUUCAUCUGGUGAUAACUACAACUCAGCAGCUAACCCAUAUUCUCGCAUCGCUACCGUUCCAAAACCUAAGCCAGGGCGGCAGAGUACUGAUCCUUGGGAUUGGGGAUGGGAAGAAAACUCUGCUCAACAAGAUGAAUGGGGUAAUGGUUGGAAUCAAGCUCCAAUUCCUGUACCAAAUGUAAUUCCUAAUCCUCCCCCGUCCCUUUACCAUCAAAGUAAACCAGAAAACAAGGCACGUGGAACACCUGACCUUAUUCCAGAAAAGGUUAACAAUGGUAGCAGCAGAGGAGGUGUGGUACAAUUUGGGCAACAGCAUUAUAACCAAACUUCCAAUGCAUCAGAUUUUUUUGAAAACAUAAAUUUGGUCGGUCAGAACCAUCAAUCAUCUCCCAUAUACCCUCCCAAUGAGGUCAGAAGGCUUCCACAACCAAAUAUUCCACAAAAUUAUCAUAUGUACCAACAACUGCCUCCUCAAAAUGCUAUAAACAGAUGUCCGACUCCAGCUUCCUACUUUCACCAGCCACCCCCACCCCACUCCGAGCCGGUGUCGUACUUUCAACAACCUCCUCCAUCACUUACUCCAAAUUUGUAUCAAAACUCUCAAUACUAUCAGCCUGAACUGAAUAACCAAUUGUCUGCUCAAAAACAAAGUGGGAACUAUUUUGAUCACAACCAGUUCACAAGUCAGGAACAUUACAAUUAUUAUGAACAAAAUGCUUACUUAAAUAAUACACCAAUUCAGGCACCUACGAGUGGUGAGCCUGCCUAUAAUCCUACCCCAAAUAAUGUAAACACAAUAGAAGUUGAGAAUGUGGAAGUUGCUCCUCCAGAACGAGCUGCUGCACCUGUUAGUCAACCGGAACCCUCACAGGAACCUGAGACGCAAAAAUCUCAAGAAGUAAACCAAGCCAACAAUCAGGGAGCAGUGGAUGAAACAAGCAUUCCUGAUAAUCAAGAAACAGUUCCAGAUAAUGAAGAACAUUUACAAAAUCUGCCUCAUAAACUGAGCCAAAUGAAAAUUACUUCAGGAAACAGUCUUGAGAUGUGGAACAGUUCUCCCGGGUGGGAGAACCAAGAGGUGGCACCACGCUGCGAGUUGGACAGAAAUCAGUAUCUGGAGACAGGGCAGCUGGUUGAUUCCAAUGAAACAGAAGAAGUACCUCCUGAAACUGAUAAUAAUGAUGAAGGGGAACCGUUGCCACCUCCAGGUUUACACAGAUUGGUAACGGGUCAAGGAACGGAAUCGAUAUCUCAGAGAUCCGUCUUAGGUCAACCACCAAGCACACCUCAGAAUAAUAGUGGAUUUGUUCGUCUAGUACCAGGUCAACUGACUCCCAGUGCCUCUCCAGAACCUUCUAGUCUUGAACGAUUGGUACCGGGACAGCAAAAUAAUGAAGAAAUCCCAUUAAAUUCUUCUCACCGUUUAGUUCCUGGACACCAAUCUCAAGACUCACAGUUGCUACAGAGAUUUUCCAAUCACCAAGAACCACAAGGAGAAAUGCAACGUUUGGUUCCAGGACAAGUUGAGAAUGAUCCUCCAAUAGGUGUUAGGAUGAUUCCAGGUCAGUUAAGCGAUGAUGAAAACAAUGUUAACACAAAUGAUAUGGAGCGAAUGAUACCUGGUGGUUUGUCAGAACAUGAGAUCAGUUUUCCUGAGGAGAUACCAGAUGACGAGAGAAUGGUACCUGGAGGAAUGUCAGAUGACUCAAGGAGUCAGAGUUUAUCGAUGGAUGAUGAGAGGCGGAAUAGCUCUGAACGGAUGAUACCUGGGAUGACUGUGCCACCUGUCAUAAAUCCUAUCCAGUCAGAGACUCAACCUGAGAGACUUGUCACCGGUGCAGGAAUCGUGGACAGUACAGACAACUCCUUACCUGGUGGUCAAGACUUGACUCGACACAUGAUGGGACAGAGGAAUGGAACUGUUGAGUCUGCUGCACAACCACCAUUAGGUCUGCAUCGGUUAGUACUGGGACAGCUGAAUUCAGAAGCUAAUACCGAUUCAGAACACGGGACAGCUAAAACGACAGAGAGAGUGGAAGAAAGUCCAGGAGGCAAUGUUCCUCCUGGCAUGCAUAGACUUGUCGUUGGACAGUUUCGGGAGAAAGAAGUAGAUCCUGAAAAUGACAAGGAGAAGGAAACUGUAAAGAGCAAUGAUAGGGAAGACGACUCGGAUUCGGAUUAUAAAUCAGAUAGAAGAAGACAGAGACAUCGCAGAGACAGCUAUGACGAUGAAAGGAAAGAACGGGAUUAUUCAAGUGAAAGAGAGUACAGAGGGAAACGUGAUGACAGACGAGAAUACAGAAAGAAAAGAGACACCAGCUACAACAGAUCUCCUGAAUAUGGAAGUGACCAUGAAGAGUACGAGAGAAAGGAUUACAGAGAUCGGCGAGAUAGAGAUAGGCGAGACCGUCCAAGAGACCGUGAGCGUGACCGUGACCGGAGGAGGAGAAGCCCAGACUACACCUAUGACUCGUAUUACAGAGACGAUCCGAGGAAAUUACCACCCAGAGAACGAGAUAGGCGGUAUUAUGAGCCUUAUGAAGACGAUCCAUAUUAUUAUAGAGAAAAUAGAUCUCGCCCCUCGAGCAGAUCAGGUUCAGAGUACCGUCGGCACAGGGACUAUCCUCGUCAACCUUAUUAUCCUGAGCAAGGUGGGAUGGGAAACUAUAUGCACUACUAUCAAAUACAACAAUACUAUGAGAACAUGAGGAGGAAUGACCCCCAGGCAUAUGCCAUGUGGUACGAGCGAUACAUGGCAGAGAAGUUUGGCAAUGCCAGCAAUGACCGGGCAAGCGUUCACUCUGGGCGAAGUUCUGCUAAUGAUAACAGCCAUUUGCAAGAAAAGAGAAGAAGGAUACCAAUGUCCACUCCUAUCAGUUCACCUGCCACCCUAGUCAAGUCAAGAUCCUUCUCUCACAAUUGGUCCUUUACCAGUUUCCCUUCCCGUCUUGAUGAGGAAGAUAAGGAGGGUGUGAAAGCAGAAGCGGACGACACAGCAUCUCACCGUUCCACCCCUCCCCUCUACACCUCCGCCCACAUUCGAGGAAAUAUGAACACUUUGGGACAAUUAGUGGUUGUGAACCCCCACGAUCCCUUCAGCUAUGGGGAACACCAGCCAACAGUGACAGUGUGUAAAGUUGCUGGGCCCAAUGCUGCCGAUACUCCUGACACACUUGAGUUCCUACACAACCCUGGACCCUUCAUCAGUGGAGUAACUCACAAGAACACUGUUCUCCAAUAUCUGAAGAAACAGUGUAGUCAGUAUACUCACUCAUCUGAAAAACUCCUUUAUGAUUUAAUACGGCUUGUUAUAAAACUGAAUGGUGUAGUUGAUAUGACUGACGUUGCUGACUUGUUGAUGGAGAGUUACCGAAGCAGCAGCAAUGAAGAGGAAGACUUCCCGGACACAACGCCAAUUGUUGAAGGGUCACCUCCAUUGUCUCCCCAUCAAAUCACCUCUAAGUUCAGACAGCUGCUGUUGGAGGGAAACAAAACUGAAGCCCUAGAAUGGGCAAUGAAAAACAAAGACUGGGGACACGCUUUAUUUUUGGCAUCAAAAAUGGAUUCGAGAACUCACAACAAUGUGAUGCUUCGGUUUGCGAAUGGACUCCCCAACAAUGACCCCCUGCAGACAUUGUAUCAGCUGAUGUCAGGCAGGGAGCCCCAAGCAGCCACAUGUGCAGCAGAUAAGAAGUGGGGUGAUUGGCGACCUCAUCUGGCUAUGAUGCUUAGCAACCGAACUGCUAACGUAGAACUGGAUAGGAAAGCCAUUCUUACUUUAGGAGAUUCACUAGGUGCAAGAGGUAGAUUGUUUGCAUCUCACUUUUGUUAUUUAACGGCCCAACUGGAGUUUUCCAACUAUUCAGACCGGCACGCCAAACUGGUGCUAUUAGGUGCUUCUCCAGAUAGACCGUUAUCACAGUUCGCUACGUGCCGAGCUAUCAUGCUCACUCUGUGCUAUGAGUACGCCAAGCAGCUAAGCAACAAGGAAUGGUGCAUCCCGACCCUGCGGCCAUACAAAUUCCUGCUGGCCUGUCGAUUAUGGGAUCAUGGUAACCUGCAGGCUGCCCUAGCAUACCUGGAGGCUCUAGCACAGGAUAUGGUACAAUUGCCUGGGAGAGAUGAUAAGGCGCUUGCCCAGCUGGUUGUUGACAUGGCAGAUAAAUUGAAGUGUGCUGACAGCACACUCUCAUUCUCGUCUGACCCCUCAAGUGAUCCGGACUGGCUUGCCAAGCUCAAGAUCCAUGUCGAGGAAGCUAAUGAUCCAAGUUACCUUGCAAGAGGCCUAACCCAUGGGAUCUCCACAUCUACAGUGUCUGAGCUGGACACUGUAAAUGGCGUUGAACUUGUUUCUCAGCCUACAGGACAGGAUACGAGCCACCCAGCCUACCAGCAUAAUAUGCCUGGGUUUACAACUGAUCAGAGUACUGGAGGAUAUGUACAGAAUAAUUACUACAAUGCGCCACAAAACAGUUAUUACAACGCUCCCCAAGUUUUGAAUGCAAGUGAAGAAGUUCACCAAAUUCCAGGUUAUAAUGCAGAACAACAACACCUGCCACCCGAGAACUCGUCACAGGAAUACUGGACGCCCACUACUGCAGGAGGGUGGGACCAGCAGUCCACCCCCGUCCAGGAACAAGCCAUGGUUGAGCCAACCAGUUUGGACUCCCAGCCCCAGAUCUCUGUUAAACCUGGUUUUGGUUAUUUUGCAAACUCAGAAGAAAAUGUUAAACCUCAGACCCCUCCCAAACCUGAACCUAUAGAAAAACCAGUAGGGACUCAUCCCUCUGAGAAGUCUGAAAACAAAGAUAAAACCAACAGACGGACAAGUAAAACACAGCAGAGUGGGUCUGGGUGGUUUGGUGGUAUAUGGGACAAACUUGCACGGAGACCAAAUAACCAAAUGAAACUUCCUGAUGAUAAAAACCCUUCAAUCGUGUGGGAUGAAAAGAGUAAACGAUGGGUGAACACAGAUGCCUCUGAGGAGGAGCAGAGUGCACAGCUGAAACCCCCGCCUAAGGCAAGUGAGCUGAAUGGUUCUGCCAUCCCAAGUGCCCCCACACAAGCACCCACAUCCACUCCAGCCUCUGGACCUGGUAUGGCCACCUCAGGAUUGCCUCCACCCUCUACCACCUCUACUAACAUAUACAAACUGCAACGGGGCAAAGGUAUGAGAGGAAAUUACGUUGAUGUAAUGGGAUCUAACAAAAAGCCAGUUUCUACCAACACAAACCUCCCUCAGCCAUUUACUACAAUGCCACAAGCACCUGUCACAAACUUCUUCGUUCCAGCUCCAGUGCUUGGAAAUGAAAAUGCUCCUGUGGAUUUUCUGAGCCCUUCCGGUCCUGUCAGCUAUGAACCCACCUCAAACAAGUCAGACGAUCAGCCCCCACCAGGUUCUGGUUUACCCAAUACAAAGUCUGGUUCAUUGAAGCUAUUGGAUUUCGUUGUCCCGUAGCAGCUCUGCCAGCUCCCUCUCUCGUGAAGUGACGUAUUACAUGAGCCGGCGACAGCCCAACCCGCGGAUGGGUGGAUUCGGUAAAGGAAAUACUAUGUUCUACAAUCCGACCAAAUAACAGCUCUGAGUAUUAAGUUCUAUUGGACCUCGUCAAAUAUACAAACCCACUGAGUGAUUUUAGCCCAUUAUACAGUGUCUGUUCUUUAAGUGAGUAUUUUAUUGUGAUAUAGAUUAAACCAUAUACAUAAUACAGCCCCUCAUUGUUUAUCAGUUUUGUUUUUAUUAUGCUUGUUUUUUAAAAUUUAUUUAUAGGUGUAUCAAUAUUAUUCUAGUAGGUUAUUUUUGAACCCUGUAAAGAAUGUAAGGAUUCUAACAUUAAAAAUAAUAUUAAACCUGUAAUAAAAUUGAAUGCUUAAUUUAUUUAUAAAUGUAAUAAUAAAAUACUGUAAUCAUUUGUGUUAAAAAAUCUCAUGUCAAAAAGGUUUAUGUAUUUGUAAGUAAAUAAACUUAUCUUCCAAAAUAGAUUGUUCUAAUAAAACAUCUGUACAGUUACUUAUGGGGGAAAGAUGUGAACUUUUCUUAAAACAAGCUCUUAGUUCCUGAGAAUGUUGACUGAAGGAGAAAUGGAUCUUUUUUUAAUUUUGAUUGACUGUUUCCAAUAAUAAUGAAUUAUUUAAAUUUGUUUAAAAAUUAUAUUGGAAUUAUUUUUAUGGAUUUAAAUCAAACUCAAAUUUAGCAAAAGUAUGUAGUAUCUUACUUUUACACUGAUUUAUUUUAAAUGUGUGUAUGAUUGAAUUAUAAAUUGUCAUAGGAAGAAUUAUUCAAUGUCUACCAGUUAUCACCUUUUUAUGUUAAAUGCUUAAAUACAUAACCAAUGCUCAAUAACAUAUGUUAUGGAUAGUUUACUGUGUUAACAAGCGGGACUGUUGAAAUGUAGAGUCUUAUCUGUGAGCCACGCUUUUAUGAAUAUUUGUAUAAUAGUACUACAGUUAAAGCUCUGAUAGCUUUGAAGUUGUAUGUAUGCAAAUAUAUCAUUGAAGAUAACUCAUAUUUUUUAGGCUGUAUUGUUUCAUAAAUUGUGUCAUACAUUUUAAAAUAGCCUAAUUUAAAAAUUAUCUAAAAAUGAAAUAAAUUAUUAGUGGUACAGAACAUUUAAUAUUUCAGUUAUACGUGUUAAAUUACGUUUUUAGUUAAUAAUUGCUCCUCGAAAGAUAUUGCAAAAUGUAAACGGUUUUUUGUAAUCUUUGGUUAUUUUACAUGUAUUUUUAAUAUAAAACGAAGCACUUAAAUGUAAAUUAGAACGUUUAAUAGGGAUAUUAUAAGUACUCCAAACGUUAUUUUCUCUCUCUCUUUGUAUUCAGUUGUGGUUUGAUUCAAGAGGCUGUCGUGAUGGACAGAUAGCUCCUAGAUUGACCUACUACUCGUACUUGUCAAAUACAUAAUAUAUAUAUGCCAUAACCUUAUUCGGACUGAGUAGAAAUAGCUAUUUUAAAAGAGAAGUGCUACAUUUAUCUGUUUUGUAUACACAACUUACAAAGGACAUAAUGACUAAUACUGCGUUGUAGUAGUAUCAGCCAUUUAUUUGUAAGAAAUAAGAUUACUUUGUCACAAUGUAAUUGAUGCUUCUGAUCGAAAUGCUUAAACUGUUAGGUGCUGAAUCAGUCAUUGUCAGUGAACACUACCUAACUCUCAGUGUACCUGUUUAUAGAAGUUAUUUGGAGCAGUGCUUCAGUAUUUAUGUUGCAUGCAGCUUAUUACAGAAAUAAAAAUUAUUUAUUCAUGUGGAAAGUACCCAUUUUUGCUCUGAGCAAAAUCAAAUUGUUGAUCUAUAUUUCAACAAUAUUUUUAAGUUUUUAAAAUGUGUAUCAACUAUAGAUAGUCCUAUAUGUACAAAUAAUGAAUUGAUUAUUUUAAUUCAGAUUGUAGACUUGUUUAUGUGAGUGAUGCUAAUAUAUAUAUAUUUAAUUGUUAUUAUUUUCAUGGGUUGUUCUAGUUUAAGUACUGAGCUUGUUUUAAAUUUCUUGAGAAUUUUUCCCUAAAGAGUCUGAAUAUUUUUGUAUGUGUAUAUAAGUAUGGGAUAUCCAAACAUACCUUUUAUCUUUCACACAACUUAUUUAGUAUUAUUCUUUAGUAAGUCUAAUUUAAAAUUCAUAAAAUUAUUUAUCCAUUUAAUUUCUUUAUAAAAGAACUUUAUAUGUGGUCUUAAAUAUUGUUUCAAUGUUUACAAAGUUAUUACAGUUUUAUUUUUAACAUAUAAAAUAUAAUAGAUCAAAUAAUUUGGCAGUGAACAAAAAUUUGACUAUUAUAAAAGAGAAUUAAAUAAACCAUUAGCAAAAUUAAAACUGAACUUCCUUAGAUGACCUUAUUGUGAUACAAAUGUUUUUCAAGGAAAUGAAUCCUAUUGAUUAUGUACUUGUAAUUAGUAAUAAUUAAUUAAUUACUAUUAAAUAACAAUUAUUGUUAAAGUAAAUUUAAAGUCAAUUAGAGGUACACAAGGAGUAAAAAGGAGCUUUCAAUAUUUUUGUUUUCAAAGCAAGAUCUAAUAUAUCAGGCUUAUCUUCAAUCAUUUGUUUGCAGAAUCCAACAUCUUUAGGUCUUUUAUUAGCUUCUUUAAACUCUUGUAUAUUGAAAAUACCCAAUUAAUAUCUUUAAACAACUCUACGCAAUUAUUGAUUGUGAUUUGAUAAAAUACUAGUACUAAAGACACAGUACAAAAAAAUGCUGACAUGCGAAUUAUGAUACAUAGACAAUUAAAAUCAGUACAGAAUAUUAGUUAAAUUUAGAUAAGUGAAACAAGUCAAUAUUUUAUUGCUGCAGAAUGUUAUGAAAAUUAGACAUUUUUAUAAAUUAUUUAUAAAUAUAAGGGUAGGAGAUUCAAAAAUCACAUUAACAAACACUUUUCCAGUUCCGCCAUUCUCACAUCCCCUCUGCUAAAUUAGUGAUUAUUAAUCUUUUAUUAAUUAGAGGAACUGUUAUUUGCAUUGUUUCAAACAAUAACAUGUUAAAACUGUAUGUGUGGCCUUAAGGCUAUAAUCACAAUAUACUGUUAAUCCUAAUUAUUUACCUUUCCUACAGCACAUAAUAAUUAUAUAAUUAUUUUGCUUUGUGCAAGAAUUCUGUAAAAGUGGAUUUGCACAUACAGACUUGAGUUUGGCCCCAAUUGUUUCUAGCUGUUGUAAGUAGAACUGUUUUUUUAAAGGUUUUAUCAAUAGUUUAUUUGUAUUGAUUUAAAAUAAAGAUUAUAAACCAUCACAAGUCACAGUAAGCUGCCCAUACUCAUAUACAUAUUAAAGAAGUGGCUCUUGUUUGUAUCACUGUAUCAACACAAAAUAUGCUCAUCAAUUACUGUAAUUGGGUGAAUUUUCCAAUAUGGUUCCAGGUCGAGUAUAAAAUGCAGUAUAAAUGAUGUGCUCUGAAACAUCAUGCUUCAGAUGUGUGUAGAUAUGUUAUGAUAUGUAAAUAGGAUUGUUGAUUGUAUAAAGUUGAGGGCGGUGUCAGGUAUAUAAUAAUUAAAUUAAUUAAAUUUUUUUAUAAAUAUACUGUAAAACUUGGGUAACGUUAGAUCUCUUUUAUGUAUUAUGUUUUAUUUUAUGGAUUUUUUAAUAAAUUGAAAUUGGGAAGUGGUCAUGAUUAUACCCGACUGUUGUAUUGUCCAAUCAACUAAGUAGUUAAUUUUUUUAAUUAUGUGGUAAAGUAUUAAAGUUAUUGUAACUAAAUAAAUAACAUAUCAUAAAUA
RNA transcript from Homalodisca vitripennis (glassy-winged sharpshooter), 9435 nucleotides. It is a transcript of the gene named protein transport protein Sec16B, with no coding region annotated. The record is from RefSeq and is a predicted model, not a curated record. NCBI's taxonomy places the organism in Eukaryota, Metazoa, Arthropoda, Insecta, Hemiptera, Cicadellidae. The transcript is spliced from 31 exons.